AGGUAUUCUUAAUCUUAAUUUUCAGAGAUUCAAUGAAGCAGUGACUUAGUUUUCAGCUCCUAAAUAUGUAUAUAAUUGUGAUUUUCUUUAUGUCAAGGUACUCCAGUUAGCCUCAGAGGAAUAUCUCUGCAUGGACACCUUCAGAGGGACCCAUAAUAACAUCCUGUACAUUUUUUGCCACAAUCCGAUGAGUCCUCAGUGCCAGUCCAAGGAGUUCUGGGAUGUUGCCCUUCACACUGAUGUCAAGUUUAGGACGUAUCUAGAACAUGUGGCAGAUAAGAUUUCAGACUGGACUAGAGAGGAAGAAUUAAAGAGAGUGGCUACAUUUUCUGUAGAGGAGGUGAAGGAGAUGGAAGAGAAGGAGGAGGUGGAGAAGAAUGGAGAGGGGGAGGAGAACAUCCUGGAAUCUGUCAUCAGAAAAGACUCUCUGAAAGCUUGGAAGUUAGAGCAGGAACGCUCGAAGGAAGAGGAGAUGGCCAAAAAAUCCAAGAAGGAGAACACACCAAAAGGCAAGCAGCAGAAGGAGGAGAAAAGUAAAACUUUGUCGAGUGGCAAGACUAGCAAACCGGAAACAGCAGCCAGCAGAGCCAAUACACCUACAACGUCCACAAUUACUGCAGCACCCCCUGUGGACAAAAGCCAAGAACUAC
Parambassis ranga (Indian glassy fish) is the source of this 650-nucleotide long non-coding RNA. The record is from Ensembl. Lineage: Eukaryota; Metazoa; Chordata; Actinopteri; Ambassidae.